Non-coding RNA from Vicugna pacos (alpaca), 496 nucleotides. The record is from RefSeq and is a predicted model, not a curated record. NCBI's taxonomy places the organism in Eukaryota, Metazoa, Chordata, Mammalia, Artiodactyla, Camelidae.
UCCAGCCUUAUCGCCAUCCAGCUCCACCAUGGCCUUGGGAAAUCAUAACCACCUGCAUAUUUUAACCUGAAAGCUUGGUUCAACUUGUAUGGAACCAUCCCUUUCAAGGAACCAGAGGCUCACAGGUAGUAAAGAACUCUGGAGUCAUGACUAGGAAAAGAUACCAGCUCAGAGAGAUACUGAAACCUUCAUCAGGCGAAAAGAAGUUAACUGUAUGCUACCCACAAGCACAUAGACCCCAGACGGACUGGAACCAGAAGGUUGAUGAUGUUGACUCCCGAUUACCUGACCACCAACCAAUAAGAAGAAUGUCCGUCUACGAGCUGAUCAUGCACCCCACAACCUCCCUCCCUCAUCCUGUCUUUAAAAACCUUUCCCUGCAAGUCACUGGGGACCCUGGACCUUUUGAGCACUAGCUACCUGGACUCCUUGCUUGGCUCCUGCAAUAAAUGCUACACUUUCCUUCACCACGACCCUGUGUCAAUAGAUUCGCUUU